Small nucleolar RNA from Perognathus longimembris pacificus (Pacific pocket mouse), 130 nucleotides. RefSeq annotates it as small nucleolar RNA SNORA51. NCBI's taxonomy places the organism in Eukaryota, Metazoa, Chordata, Mammalia, Rodentia, Heteromyidae. The record is from RefSeq and is a predicted model, not a curated record. The transcript has a single exon.
GGCUUCCUGGUGCUUACCACGGGCUAUAUUCUUACAUUGACUGUAUAGAAAGAGGAGGAAGAGUAAACCUACCCCAUGUACACCUCAGCCCAAACACUGGGCCUGGUGUAUUGUGAAAGGGGAGACACAA